GUGCACCAGGCGCGAAUCGUGGACAAUGGGCGAAAGCCUGAUCCCGCGACGCCGCGUGGGGAAGAAGGCCUUCGGGUCGUAAACCCCUGUCAGGGAGGACGAAGGGUAGCUUGGCGAAUAGCCUUGCUACCUUGACGGUACUCCCAGAGGAAGCCCCGGCUAACUACGGUGCCAGGCAGCCGCGGUAAUACGUAGGGGCGAGCGUUGGCUCGGGAUUUACUGGGCGUAAAGGGGGCGUAGGCGGCCUCGCAAGUCGGUGGUGAAAGCCCUCGGCUCAACC
This 280-nucleotide ribosomal RNA is filed under the name uncultured microorganism. RNAcentral's name for it is "partial 16S ribosomal RNA". It matches the Rfam family "Bacterial small subunit ribosomal RNA", at positions 346 to 614 of the family's 1533-position model. The record is from RNAcentral.